This 504-nucleotide small RNA is filed under the name Pongo abelii (Sumatran orangutan). RNAcentral's name for it is "processed transcript". The record is from RNAcentral. Lineage: Eukaryota; Metazoa; Chordata; Mammalia; Primates; Hominidae.
AUAUGUAUAGCUUAUGGUGCUUUCUAAAAUAUCUUAAAAGUAAAAGAGUAGCUAAGCCAAUUUGCAUAGGAGGGAGUCUUGGGACUUUAAUAUGGAUAAAGUAUUCCAGAAGCCAUUUGUAGUUUUUGUUGAAGUGUUACUAUGGAUAUUGGUUUGUUGAAGAAAAUAGGCUUUUUUUCUUUUUUUGUUACUGUGCAAAUACUUUUAAUAGCAAACCUGAUUAAUAUUUUUCAGUUGUAGAAUGUGUGAGCCACUGUGCCCAGCCUUGUAUUUUGAUUUUUAAAUUAAUUUAUGUGAAUAUUUCGUUUUACUCUAUAUCAGGGCUUAAUAUUUUUAAACUUCAUUAUAAAAAGUUGAUUACAGAAAGUGGUAUCUUCUAGUUGGGAGCCAUCUUCGCACAUCUCUCUCCAACUCUGCCUUUAGUGAUAUGUCAAUAACAAAUUGGCCGUGGCGGGAGCAUUUUACACCAUGGAAACUGAUAAAUGCAGCAAAUCAAGGAAUUCC